Molecule: ribosomal RNA, 433 nt
Filed under: uncultured bacterium
Lineage: Bacteria
Description: partial 16S ribosomal RNA
Rfam family: Bacterial small subunit ribosomal RNA
Source: RNAcentral
AACGAACGCUGGCGGCAUGCCUAACACAUGCAAGUCGAACGAGACCUUCGGGUCUAGUGGCGCACGGGUGCGUAACGCGUGGGAACCUGCCCUUAGGUUCGGAAUAACUCCCCGAAAGGGGUGCUAAUACCGGAUAAUGUCUUCGGACCAAAGAUUUAUCGCCUUUGGAUGAGCCCGCGUUGGAUUAGCUAGUUGGUAGGGUAAAAGCCUACCAAGGCGACGAUCCAUAGCUGGUCCGAGAGGAUGAUCAGCCACACUGGGACUGAGACACGGCCCAGACUCCUACGGGAGGCAGCAGUGGGGAAUAUUGGACAAUGGGCGAAAGCCUGAUCCAGCAAUGCCGCGUGAGUGAUGAAGGCCUUAGGGUUGUAAAGCUCUUUUACCCGGGAUGAUAAUGACAGUACCGGGAGAAUAAGCUCCGGCUAACUCCGUG